GAUGAACGCUAGCGGCAGGCUUAAUACAUGCAAGUCGAGGGGCAGCAGGACUGUAGCAAUACAGUUGCUGGCGACCGGCAAACGGGUGCGGAACACGUACGCAAUCUACCCAGAACUGAUGAAUAGCCCUCCGAAAGGAGGAUUAAUACAUCGUAACAUAAUGAAGUGGCAUCACUUUAUUAUUAUAGCUCCGGUCGGUUUGGAUGAGCGUGCGCCNGAUUAGGUAGUUGGC
Molecule: ribosomal RNA, 232 nt
Filed under: uncultured bacterium
Lineage: Bacteria
Description: partial 16S ribosomal RNA
Rfam family: Bacterial small subunit ribosomal RNA
Source: RNAcentral